RNAcentral lists this long non-coding RNA (603 nucleotides) under Monodelphis domestica (gray short-tailed opossum). RNAcentral's name for it is "lncRNA (ENSMODG00000040395.1)". The record is from RNAcentral. Lineage: Eukaryota; Metazoa; Chordata; Mammalia; Didelphimorphia; Didelphidae.
CCUUUUUCCACCAGGAACUAUUAGCCCAGAAGGAUGCCAAAGUAGUCAGUCUUUCCCUGCCAGAGUUGCAGUGAACAUAGAUGAUGGUAGUAGGAACCAACUUAAGAGCCCUAUCCAGGGUCAACUUACCUAUCAGUCCUAAAGAGCUCCAGACACCCAUGAAGCCCUAAAUUCAGGAUAGAUAGGAUUUCCUUCCUCAAGGAAUUCUGGUCCCAUAGUAUUGAGAGAGGGCUAUCAUGAACAACUUCAGUGAUCACCCAAGUAUCUGUGUGUGGUGCUGGGGUCUAGAAGGAGAUGGUGGCCUGGUUCCUGGCUGGUUGAGUCAUUAACAGACAGGAAAAUAUGAAUAUCACGGGAUCACCAUCUUGGUUCCAAUGAAGACUAGAAGUGGGGAGGAAGAAAAGACCCAAAGGAGACUCUUUGCUAAUAGCCAAGAAGUGACCCUCCAAGUCAUUUACAGAAAAAUCAAGGAAAUAAAAAUAGAAAAAUAUUAGCUGGUUAUUCUAAGUCAUGGACAAGACUAUGGAAUCAUUGAUUCUAAAGGCCAAUGGAUCUGAAAGAUGAAAAUUGAUUCACCUAAGAACAUUGAUUAAAUUUCUCCUC